RNAcentral lists this ribosomal RNA (253 nucleotides) under uncultured bacterium. RNAcentral describes it as "partial 16S ribosomal RNA". It matches the Rfam family "Bacterial small subunit ribosomal RNA", at positions 524 to 776 of the family's 1533-position model. The record is from RNAcentral.
UACAGAGGGUGCGAGCGUUGUCCGGAAUCACUGGGCGUAAAGGGCGCGUAGGCGGCGCGGGGAGUCAACGGUGAAAGCUCGGCGCUCAACGCCGAGUCGGCCGUCGAUACUCCCGUGCUCGAGCACUGUAGAGGCAGGUGGAAUUCCGGGUGUAGCGGUGGAAUGCGUAGAGAUCCGGAAGAACACCGGUGGCGAAGGCGGCUUGCUGGGCAGUAGCUGACGCUGAGGCGCGACAGCGUGGGGAGCAAACAGG